Molecule: ribosomal RNA, 408 nt
Filed under: uncultured bacterium
Lineage: Bacteria
Description: partial 16S ribosomal RNA
Rfam family: Bacterial small subunit ribosomal RNA
Source: RNAcentral
AGUGAACGCUGGCGGCGUGCCUAAUACAUGCAAGUCGAACGGAGUGGCGCACGGGUGAGUAAUGUAUAGCUAAUCUGCCCUACACUAGAGGACAACAGUUGGAAACGACUGCUAAUACUCUAUAGUGUAGGAUGAGGCUAUAUUGUAUCAGCUAGUUGGUGAGGUAAUGGCUCACCAAGGGUAUGACGCAUAACUGGUCUGAGAGGAUGAUCAGUCACACUGGAACUGAGACACGGUCGGGACUCCUGCGGGAGGGAGCAGAAGGGAAUAUUGCUCGAUGGGGGGAGCCCUGAAGCAGCAGCGCCGCGUGGAGGAUGACACUUUUCGGAGCGUGCACUCCUUUUGUUAGUGAAGCGGUACCUAACGAAUAAGCACCGGCUAACUCCGUGCCAGCAGCCGCGGUAAUAC